RNAcentral lists this unclassified non-coding RNA (261 nucleotides) under Hevea brasiliensis (rubber tree). The record is from RNAcentral. Lineage: Eukaryota; Viridiplantae; Streptophyta; Magnoliopsida; Malpighiales; Euphorbiaceae.
CAACCAAAAAAAUCCAAUAAUUACAAUUUCCCUAAGCAAAAACAAAACCAGACACUUUCACUUCAGCUGCUUCCUCUGUUCUUCCACCUCAACCACAAUCAUGGCUUCUCUUCUGGCUAACGGUGUUUCAAGCUUUUCUCCUCAACCCAUCUCCGAUUCUGCUAAACUAUCCAAACCCUUUUCAUUUCCUUUAAAACCCGCCAUCUCCAGACCGGCAAAUUUAGUCAAGAUCCGAGCUGAUGUCGGCUUCGAAUCCAAGAC